This 777-nucleotide long non-coding RNA is filed under the name Gallus gallus (chicken). RNAcentral describes it as "lncRNA (ENSGALG00010018417.1)". Lineage: Eukaryota; Metazoa; Chordata; Aves; Galliformes; Phasianidae. The record is from RNAcentral.
AUCUAACAGAAAGUGACACCAAGCUCUGAGUGGGCCUGGGAUGGUGUGAGUAGCUACUGCCGAGACAGCUGAGCAAGCUCCUUGUAAGGCAAUAAGGGAGUGAACCACUUCUACCUGGAGGUGCCUGCUUCUUUCUCGGGCAUCAUGCUACUAGCCAGGCUAUGUAGUACAGGUGUGUAGGAUGACAUACAUACCCUGGAGACAGGAUUCAUGUUCUUCUAAGAGUAGAAUUUCAGGUACCUGCUUCCUCAGAAGGAUGGUCUUCCAAGCAGAUGAGCCCAGAUUCUGAAGAGGUGCAGAUGAAUGUGUCAAAGCGUGCAGCAUGAAUCUGAUGAGAAAAGAGAAAGAGAAGGAUGAGGAGAAAGACUUUCACACAUGAAACCACAGUCUUCCGGGAUGACUGAAAACGGCAAAAUGAAAGAAACAAUCCAUUCUUCAGACAGUGUCAGACUAAGAGAUAAAACAUAUCCGGAUUCAGCUGUUGCCUCUUAAAGCUUCCUGUUCCUCUCACAAAAACUACUGGAAAAGUGCUCUUCCCUUUGCAGGACCUUCUACAAACAGACUUCAGUAAUUCCAACAGCACUAACAUACUGUUGGUCUCUGCUAAAAGCCCAGUGAGAAUCAAUGCUUUUUUAUUAAAAGGUUUGUUAUGGAUUAUUUUGUCCUUGUGUAUUUCACUGGUGAGGACCAGAGUACCUCACAGAGGAUCUGAACUGACUAUCUGAGCUCUGCCAAACAGAACAGCCCUGGUUUACCUGGUCUCCCACGACAACAGAC